RNAcentral lists this ribosomal RNA (482 nucleotides) under uncultured bacterium. Its description in RNAcentral is "partial 16S ribosomal RNA". It matches the Rfam family "Bacterial small subunit ribosomal RNA", at positions 28 to 523 of the family's 1533-position model. The record is from RNAcentral.
GACGAACGCUGGAGGCGUGCUUAACACAUGCAAGUCGAACGAUGAAAUGGAGCUUGCUCCAUGGAUUAGUGGCGAACGGGUGAGUAACACGUGAAUAACCUACCCUUAAUUUUGGAAUAACCCAGGGAAACCUGGGCUAAUACCGGAUAAGUAAACCUGUGGCAUCACAUGGUUUUGGAAAGUUUUUCGAUUAAGGAUGGAUUCGCGUCCUAUCAGAUUGUUGGUGAGGUAAUGGCUCACCAAGGCGACGACGGGUAGCCGGCCUGAGAGGGUGAACGGCCACACUGGGACUGAGACACGGCCCAGACUCCUACGGGAGGCAGCAGUGGGGAAUAUUGCGCAAUGGACGAAAGUCUGACGCAGCGACGCCUCGUGAGGGACGAAGGUCUUCGGAUUGUAAACCUCUUUCAGCAGGGACGAAGCGAAAGUGACGGUACCUGCAGAAGAAGCACCGGCUAACUAUGUGCCAGCAGCCGCCGCCG